This 760-nucleotide ribosomal RNA is filed under the name bacterium MVIII.02. RNAcentral describes it as "bacterial SSU rRNA". It matches the Rfam family "Bacterial small subunit ribosomal RNA", at positions 82 to 826 of the family's 1533-position model. The record is from RNAcentral.
CUCCCUGAUGUUAGCGGCGGACGGGUGAGUAACACGUGGGUAACCUGCCUGUAAGACUGGGAUAACUCCGGGAAACCGGGGCUAAUACCGGAUGCUUGAUUGAACCGCAUGGUUCAAUUAUAAAAGGUGGCUUUUAGCUACCACUUACAGAUGGACCCGCGGCGCAUUACCUAGUUGGUGAGGUAACGGCUCACCAAGGCAACGAUGCGUANCCGACCUGAGAGGGUGAUCGGCCACACUGGGACUGAGACACGGCCCAAACUCCUACGGGAGGCAGCAGUAGGGAAUCUUCCGCAAUGGACNAAAGUCUGACGGAGCANCNCCGCGUGAGUGAUGAAGGUUUUCGGAUCGUAAAACUCUGUUGUUAGGGAANAACAAGUACCGUUCGAAUAGGGCGGUACCUUGACGGUACCUAACCAGAAAGCCACGGCUAACUACGUGCCAGCAGCCGCGGUAAUACGUAGGUGGCAAGCGUUGUCCGGAAUUAUUGGGCGUAAAGCGCGCGCAGGCGGUUUCUUAAGUCUGAUGUGAAAGCCCCCGGCUCAACCGGGGAGGGUCAUUGGAAACUGGGGAACUUGAGUGCANAAGAGGAGAGUGGAAUUCCACGUGUAGCGGUGAAAUGCNUAGAGAUGUGGAGGAACACCAGUGGCGAAGGCGACUCUCUGGUCUGUAACUGACGCUGAGGCGCGAAAGCGUGGGGAGCGAACAGGAUUAGAUACCUUGGUAGUCCACGCCGUAAACGAUGAGUGCUAAGUGUUAA